UAGUAAGUUGAAUUUAAUUUGUAAUUUAAGUCUUUUGAAACGAGGUUGAUUAAUAUUUAAAUUUAAUAGAAAAUCGCUAUAAAAUUCGAUUUUUCAAAUAAAAAAAUAAAAACAUUAAUAUGGUUAAAACUCAACGAGUUUAAGACUGCUCAUGCUAUAAUAUAAUAAUAAGAAAAAAUAGAAUAUGACUCAAAAGCCCAUGCAUCCAUUCAAGACUCCCUAAACUUAUAAAAACCCUUCUCUUCUUCUUUUGUGAAAUCUUUUACUCAACUCUCACAGACGCUCUCGUUUUGCCGCUCUUUUUAUUAUAUUCGAUGAUCAUUGGCAGUUUUAGAUAUUAAUCUUGCUAAUGGUGCCAUUAUUAAAAGCACCACCACCACCACCACCACCAAUCACUAGACUGAGUUUGGUUUCCUCCUUCAAACCCUCUUGCUCCCCUCCAACUCCAUUCAUCCUCCUUUAGCAAUAAGGGUAUCUCUCAUAUCAUCACUCUCUUUACAUCAAACCCUUUUGCUCUUGUUCAUUUUCUUUUGUUUUGUUACUUUUGAUCACAUAAUUGUGUAUAAAAGUGCAUUGCCUUCGCCUUUUUGGUUUCUUGUAAUUCUUGUUCUUGGUCUAUGUGUAUAGAUGAUCACUUAACUAUUACUUAAAAGUAUUUUAAUUGCUUGCUUUCUUGUAGUGGGAAUUAGUGAUUGUGUACAAAUAGCUUAUUCCAAUAAAUUAAGAUGCUAUUGUCUUGGUGGGACUGGAAACAUCAACUUUUUUGGUCGAUUAGGUAGACUUUUCAGGGUAAGGUUUUAGGAUUUUGUUAAUGUUAAUAACAUUUGUCAAUAACGCUAUAAAAGGGUCUUGCUAAUUCUUUUACAGCUUUUGGAGAGUAAGAUACAAGAAGCAAAUGCCAAAAAAGAAGCUUUCAUAGCAAUUGCUGCAACAACAAAGACUGUAACAAGAGUGCACAGCAUGAUUGGAAAUUUUUAUUGAAGAACUGCAGUUUCAGUUUUUGAGAUGAUAGAGAAAACUUGUUGGCCUUGGAGUAUGAAGCGGAGUCCCUCCAUCUCUUAACCACUAAUAAUCUUGAGGAAAAGUUUGCACUUUUAAAGGGAUCUCUCGCUAAUGAUGAAUCAGAAGAGUUGAAGAAAGAGCUAUUUCUGGACCUACAGUUGGACUGAUGAAAGCAUGAACUUCCACCUUGGAAAACUGAAAUUGAUAUGGAGGAGAGAUUUGAGAAGCAAUUCCAUUGAAACUCAGGAGAAAGCAAUGGUCUUCUAAAUCAUAUACUUGUCUUCCACUGUGCAAUUUCUGAGAGAUGUUCGGUAGAGAAAAAUGGUUUCUCCAUGCAUGGAAAUUAAGCAGGUUUUUUCAUGGAUUUGGGAUGUGAAAUUGAGACUACUGCUACUGCCCCAUACAUAAUGCGUGCCUCAUUGUUGUCAUUUGGAGUCUGUACAUUCUCAUUUGCAAACAUUCAUAUUACCCCAAUAAAUAUGGGGACUAUUUGACCACAGAUACAUCUAACGAUGCUAUGUUAUAAAUUAUUUUACUAAGAUCGGAUGUAUAAUUUUCGGAUUACUUGUUCACAAGUGUUUCUAUAUGAACAUGCAAUGCGAAACACAAUUUAUACUUGUUCACAA
Long non-coding RNA from Ricinus communis (castor bean), 1628 nucleotides. RefSeq lists it as uncharacterized. The record is from RefSeq and is a predicted model, not a curated record. NCBI's taxonomy places the organism in Eukaryota, Viridiplantae, Streptophyta, Magnoliopsida, Malpighiales, Euphorbiaceae. The transcript is spliced from 5 exons.